UACGAAGGGUGCAAGCGUUAAUCGGAAUUACUGGGCGUAAAGCGCGCGUAGGUGGUUCAGUAAGUUGGAAGUGAAAUCCCCGGGCUCAACCUGGGAACUGCUUUCAAAACUGCUGAGCUAGAGUACGGUAGAGGGUGGUGGAAUUUCCUGUGUAGCGGUGAAAUGCGUAGAUAUAGGAAGGAACACCAGUGGCGAAGGCGACCACCUGGACUGAUACUGACACUGAGGUGCGAAAGCGCGGGGAGCAAACAGG
Molecule: ribosomal RNA, 253 nt
Filed under: uncultured bacterium
Lineage: Bacteria
Description: partial 16S ribosomal RNA
Rfam family: Bacterial small subunit ribosomal RNA
Source: RNAcentral